ACUCGUUCCCAAGCUGCCUUCUCUUGAAU
This 29-nucleotide small RNA is filed under the name Bombyx mori (domestic silkworm). Its description in RNAcentral is "ovarian small RNA-11680". The record is from RNAcentral. Lineage: Eukaryota; Metazoa; Arthropoda; Insecta; Lepidoptera; Bombycidae.